Helianthus annuus (common sunflower) is the source of this 511-nucleotide long non-coding RNA. RefSeq lists it as uncharacterized. The transcript is spliced from 3 exons. The record is from RefSeq and is a predicted model, not a curated record. Lineage: Eukaryota; Viridiplantae; Streptophyta; Magnoliopsida; Asterales; Asteraceae.
UAUUUGAUUUAAACGAAACAUGAGGGACCAAAGUGGGCUAACUUGAAAGUUGUUAUGUUAAAUGAAAAUAACACACACACACACACACAUUUUCGUGUGUGUUCUGUACGUGAUCAGGGAAGGCUCUAGAGAGCCAAACCCUAGUUCAUCAUAUAUCAACCAAUUGAAGCAUGAAUCGAGGCUCAAAUUCAAGAAGGAACAUGAAUUAACGAUCACCCAAGUUAGGGGAUCAUAAGGAAUCAUGUCAAGACGGAUGGGAGCUUUGAAGGCUAACGGGCUAAGAGGACUCAAUCAAGUAAGCGAACGAGAAUACGGACGCGCAAGGCUAUACAUGUUUGGAUGUUUCAUCUAGUAGCGUACGCGGUUGAAGAUCGAGUCAAGGCACGGAUUGUAUGUGGGUGUAUACGUAGUCACUUAAUUGAGUCAUGUAUGUUAGUUUUUGCAUUAAAUUAUAAAAGAGAUUAAUGUAUUUAAAUGAAAGAAAGAAUAUCAUGAAGGAAAUUUCUAGUUA